AAAGCGCGAUAUAGAAUUAAACCCUGUUUAUACGACACAUAUAAUUUCGUGAGUUGCUUUCAGUAGAGAUGCUAGACGCGUAAAAUUUUGUAUUCUAGUCUGGUCACACUUUUACAAAAUGUAAACAUACCGCACAAUGCGAUGGAUAAACUAAAAUUCUUUAUUUACAAUCGGCAAAUAAGAACCGGAAAAUUAAUUUUCAAAAUUACUGAGUGGUCGCACAGAAGGUCGAUGGUGAUUUUCACUUUUAUGCACAGCGUUGCCCCUGGUCUGCAUAGCGUUAAGUUGGUUGCGCACCACAAAUUCACGCUUUCAGGCUGAAUUCAAAGUCAACUUUCGUGUGUUGUCGUAUUCACGAAAUGGCGUUUAUACACACACGAAUCGGCUGAAAGCGUGCAAUGAUAGAGUGGCAUCGUAUAAACGCAGUAUAUAUUAACACAUCUAAAUUUGAUUGUGUAAGAGCGAAGUUUUUGUUCUGUCUAUUUUGAAAUCUGACUAUUAUUAUUUGUCGGUCAUGGACUUUAAAUUCUUCGAUGCUUUUUCUUAAUAAACCUGGUAUUUGCUCUUUUCGUUAAGCCAAUGUAUUGCUGCUAUUUCCUGUUCGGCUGUUGAUAUGUUACUUUCGCCUUUUGUAAACGUUCGAGAGGCGUGUGCUACUGGAAAGUCUAUACCAUCAUGUGAUUUGGUUAAGACGGCUCCGCAUGCUUGCUUACUAACAUCUGCUGUGAUACAAAAAUGUUUAUUGAAGCCUGGAUAUUGUGAGUCUUGAAUAAUGGGAGAAAUUUGUAUGAAGCCUUUGUAACAGUUUCAGGAAGCGAAACAUCUUCCUGCUUAUUCUGCAUCGAUGCUACAGGAUAUUUGAAUAUUGUGUCGUUUUUUAUGCCUUUAUUUGUGCACUUAUGACCUAAAAAUGUGACAAAGAGGUUAUUUAAAUUUUUGAUCCAAUGAUUUUGGAACUGCCUAAUACUACUCAAACAAUGUUAUGCACUUCGAACAGUACAAACAAUUGGCCCGACGACAUACAAAUUAUGUUAUUUGAUUUAUAUCAAUAAAAUAGUCGAUGACUUUUACGCCUAAUAUUUAGAAACUUUUCGUAAAAUUAAAAGGCGGAGUUUUAUUUUAAUGGUUAUUUAUUAACAGGGCCGAAGUGCCUCUGUUCAAAAUCGAAUAAGAACUGAAACAUAAAAUCAAACAAGACAAUCCCGCAACUUACGGUUACGAGA
This is a long non-coding RNA of Drosophila biarmipes, 1223 nucleotides long. RefSeq lists it as uncharacterized. Lineage: Eukaryota; Metazoa; Arthropoda; Insecta; Diptera; Drosophilidae. The record is from RefSeq and is a predicted model, not a curated record. The transcript is spliced from 3 exons.